GACGAACGCUGGCGGCGUGCCUAACACAUGCAAGUCGAACGAGGUCCAACCGGUAGCAAUACCGGGGAAGACCUAGUGGCGAACGGGUGAGUAACACGUGAGGAACCUGCCCCGAAGACUGGGAUAACCACCCGAAAGGGUGGCUAAUACCGGAUGCCUUUACCGGACCGCAUGAUCUGGUGAAGAAAUGGAUUCCGCUUCGGGAGGGCCUCGCGGCCUAUCAGCUUGUUGGUGGGGUAAUGGCCCACCAAGGCUUCGACGGGUAGCUGGUCUGAGAGGACGAUCAGCCACACUGGGACUGAGACACGGCCCAGACUCCUACGGGAGGCAGCAGUGGGGAAUCUUGCGCAAUGGGCGAAAGCCUGACGCAGCAACGCCGCGUGGGGGAUGAAGGCUCUCGGGUUGUAAACCCCUUUCAGCAGGGACGAUUAUGACGGUACCUGCAGAAGAAGGCCCGGCCAACUACGUGCCAGCAGCCGCGGUAACACGUAGGGGCCAAGCGUUGUCCGGAUUUAUUGGGUCGU
Molecule: ribosomal RNA, 524 nt
Filed under: uncultured bacterium
Lineage: Bacteria
Description: bacterial SSU rRNA
Rfam family: Bacterial small subunit ribosomal RNA
Source: RNAcentral